AAGAUAACCCACGAAGAAGAAGCUUUCACGAGAGAAGCGGAAAGUAACGGAGAAAGAGGCGAACAGCAGAACGACUUUCGUUUUUACAAGUUUUGUACGCUAUUUAAUUGCUAAAUACACGUUUGAGCGGUUUUGAGGCGAGAAAUCAAUUAUGUAGAAUUUGAAUAUUGGCAGUUUUACCAAAGUCGAUGGCGAAUCGAAAAUGUGCUCAAACGUUUUCGGGGUUGAGAAGCUCCACAAGUGCCCGCGAGGUUAGCGGUGCCAGUCACGCCCACAGAGCCUGGUCCCAGUUACUCAGACCACUGCAGCAGUAACAAUAUGUUCAUUUAUUUGUGGCGGGCUGCCACAUACUGAUUUUUUUUAUUUUAUUUUACUAGGCCUAUUUAAAAUCUUUUUUGAUUGCAGAUGAGCACCGUUGGAGGUACCAGAUGUGCUCGGGUGGUUAUAUCUGCUCGGGGGCCUGCGCCUGCUGGUAACGUCACAGGACCUGGCCAAGUUAAAUGGAAAGGAUCUAGGGUGACGUGUGUAAAGUUUUCUUCCUUUCUAAGGGUGCGUUCCGAUCGCCCUGUAGUUCCCUGCUAAGUGCACUGCACAGGGUAUUCGGCCAUUUUAAGUGAGAUCCAAACCGCAGGGAGCACAACAUGUUCACUGCAAAGGGCACUGUGAACUGUGUAGGGAAGAAGGGAACAACGGUUCAUCAGUUCGCAGGAAGUUGACAAGAAAGAUUACCCAUAAGCCUUUGCGCCUCAUAGGAGCUAACAAUAGAGCAGACCACAGAGUUUGUAUCUGUAAUUAUUGUCAUUGUAACUAAUGUUAUCGUUAUUUAUAUGAUUAUUUCAGAGGUUAGGUUACCUAAUAACAACAAUGCUCAUAUGAAUCUUUUUAAGAAUGACGCUGCGUAUCUUGUAAAUUAAUCCAAUCACAUUCAUUCACAAGUUACAUAUAUUUUAAUAGAAUAUAAAUAGAAGAAGUUAUGGAAAUAUAAGUUUUGUAAUUGUAUCAGUUUGUUUUAACAUAUAUUCAAUAUUUAAUUUCAGUAGCGGAUAUCCGAGGUGUUUACAUUACCAGGGUAACACACGGCGGAACUGACGUGUGCUUUGAUGAUGUUGCAGGGUGUUCCGAAUGGAAGAAUUUUAUCGAGGGAAGUUCCCUUAACCAACAUUUCCUGAGAAGGGAGCAGGGAGUACUGUUACACACUGUGGAUCGGAUCGCAGCCUAAGUAUCAAGGAUGUUCGUUUACGCUCAGCUGCCAAUUCCACACCUGCGCAAUGUAUACCACAGGCGCUCUCGCGCAUCAGUGGACAUGGUGAUAAGCUGCUCUCCCUGUAAGAUGCCAUCCCACGUCUGGACAGGCCCCCGGCAUCGCACCGGCACUGUCCCCUCUCCGGACUCGAUUUUGGUUCGCAGGUGGCUGCGGUGCUUUCUCAUGAGGUGUCGGCUGCUGUGUACUGCCAACACAACACAUACAUACAAAAUAAACCAGGUCAAAAAAGACAUCAGCUAAACUAAGCUGGAAACAGUCAA
Micropterus salmoides (largemouth bass) is the source of this 1524-nucleotide long non-coding RNA. RefSeq lists it as uncharacterized. The transcript has 2 exons. The record is from RefSeq and is a predicted model, not a curated record. NCBI's taxonomy places the organism in Eukaryota, Metazoa, Chordata, Actinopteri, Centrarchiformes, Centrarchidae.